UACGGAGGGUGCAAGCGUUAAUCGGAAUUACUGGGCGUAAAGCGUGCGUAGGCGGAUUAUUAAGUCAGAUGUGAAAUCCCGGGGCUCAACCUCGGAACUGCAUUUGAAACUGGUAAACUAGAGUAUGGUAGAGGAAAGUGGAAUUUCUGGUGUAGCGGUGAAAUGCGUAGAGAUUGGAAGGAACAUCAGUGGCGAAGGCGGCCACCUGGACAAAUACUGACGCUGAGGCACGAAAGCGUGGGGAGCGAACAGG
RNAcentral lists this ribosomal RNA (253 nucleotides) under uncultured bacterium. Its description in RNAcentral is "partial 16S ribosomal RNA". It matches the Rfam family "Bacterial small subunit ribosomal RNA", at positions 524 to 776 of the family's 1533-position model. The record is from RNAcentral.